CCUACGGGUGACAGUAGUGGGGAAUAUUGCACAAUGGGGGAAACCCUGAUGCAGCGACGCCGCGUGAGGGAAGAAGUAUUUCGGUAUGUAAAGCUCUAUCAGCAGGGAAGAAAAUUACGGUACGUGAUUAACAUGCCCCGGCUAACUACGUGCCAGCAGCCGCGGUAAUACGUAGGGGGCAAGCGUUAUCCGGAUUUACUGGGGGUAACGGGAGCGUAGACGGCAGCACAAGUCUGGAGUGAAAUGCCGGGGCUUAACCCCGGAACUGCUUUGGAAACUGUGCAGCUAGAGUGCAGGAGAGGUAAGUGGAAUUCCUAGUGUAGCGGUGAAAUGCGUAGAUAUUAGGAGGAACACCAGUGGCGAAGGCGGCUUACUGGACUGUAACUGACGUUGAGGCUCGAAAGCGUGGGGAGCAAACAGGAUUAGAUACCCCAGUAGUC
RNAcentral lists this ribosomal RNA (440 nucleotides) under uncultured bacterium. RNAcentral describes it as "partial 16S ribosomal RNA". It matches the Rfam family "Bacterial small subunit ribosomal RNA", at positions 338 to 795 of the family's 1533-position model. The record is from RNAcentral.